UGAAAAAAAACUAGUCUGCCCCCCUAAAGAUUUUUUUAGUCUUUUUUUGUUUCUUGGUUAAAAAUUUAAUCAAGCCAGGUCGUCGAGCACCUGUCAAAAUUUGAAAAUGUAUGCACAGUCCGCAGCAAACCUCCGUGCCUCUUCCUUUGCCGAGGACCAGUCUCAUAUUAACUAGUUCUACUUACAAGGCUUUUGACUAUGGCUGAGUAUGAGUAGUGCCAGGUGCUUGUAGCUUAACCCUUGCAUAGUUGCAUGCAUAGGGGCUCAUUCAGUUAUCCAUCCUGUUGCAUGGAAACAAACUGUGGUUUGAUAUUUAACUUAAGAAAGGACUUUGAUAACCAAAUUAGGAGAUUCUAUAGCUAUGUUAUUUUAUGUGGAGCUUUUUCCUUUCUGUUACUUUUCAACUAAAUCUAAUAGCAUUUGCUUACUUCUAAUUUUCAAGGGAGAUGAAGCAUCAUUGCAAAAAGCGCUGCAUUUGGUGUACAACCUCAAUCAGGACUGUGUAGAUGUUCUGUUUUAUGCUUCUUGGUGCCAGUUCUCGAGGAACUUCAGACCAAGCUAUUCAACCCUGUCUUCCUUAUAUCCAUCUAUUCCUCAUUUUGCAAUAGAAGAAUCAGCCAUCAGACCAAGAAAUGAGUCGUCGUUGGAUGUACGGUGACCAUACUACGGUGGAAUACUUGAGUGGGGUUGAGGAGUUCCUUAGAUGUGCUUUAGCACACCAACGGAAUACGAAAGCCGCAAAGAUCUAUUGUCCUUGCCGUGAUUGUAACAAUGUAAGGCGGUUAGCUGAUAUUGAUGAAAUUGAGGAUCAUUUAUUUCGUCGUGGGUUUAAGCAAGAUUACCAUGUCUGGUUUUGGCAUGGCUUACACUCCAAGAAAUGCGCCUUAUACCGAUGAGGAAAUAGAUGUGGUUCGUGAGCAAUGGGCUAAGUUUUUUACAACCGAGUAUUUAUUUACUUAGGUUGUUUAGACACAAAGAUGGAAGC
This is a long non-coding RNA of Spinacia oleracea (spinach), 985 nucleotides long. RefSeq lists it as uncharacterized. The record is from RefSeq and is a predicted model, not a curated record. The transcript has 3 exons. Lineage: Eukaryota; Viridiplantae; Streptophyta; Magnoliopsida; Caryophyllales; Amaranthaceae.